AGUGAACGCUGGCGGCGUGGAUUAGGCAUGCAAGUCGAGCGAUCUCGCAAGAGAUAGCGGCAAACGGGUGAGGAACACGUAAAUAAUCUUCCCCUUAUCCUGACAUAGCUCUAUGAAAAUAGAGGUAAUAUCAGAUGACACCAUGAUUUCUCAUGAGAUUAUGUUUAAAGACGGGGACCGCAAGGCCUGUCGAUAGGGGAUGAGUUUGCGUAGCAUCAGCUAGUUGGUAGGGUAACGGCCUACCAAGGCUAUGACGCUUAGCUGGUCUGA
This 270-nucleotide ribosomal RNA is filed under the name uncultured bacterium. RNAcentral describes it as "partial 16S ribosomal RNA". It matches the Rfam family "Bacterial small subunit ribosomal RNA", at positions 29 to 295 of the family's 1533-position model. The record is from RNAcentral.